This is a non-coding RNA of Triticum urartu, 241 nucleotides long. NCBI's taxonomy places the organism in Eukaryota, Viridiplantae, Streptophyta, Magnoliopsida, Poales, Poaceae. The record is from RefSeq and is a predicted model, not a curated record.
GAUUUCGAUUUGAUUGUGUGAUUGACUGAUUGUACUUCAUGGUGCUUGCACUUCCAAGGACAAUUUAUUCCAGUGCCCGAUUCAUUGUCCGUCUCAACCAAACCUCACAUGGUGGUGCGAAUUUAUGCUAGGAAUAAAUGUUCCAGGGUUGGAGAAGAGGGGGUUGAGCAGCAGCUGAGCUUAGCUAGGCAGGCCAGGGGAUGAAGGUACGAUGCAGUGAGUGCAGCAGCGGCAGCGGGGA